CAAUAGCGUAUAUUAAAGUUGUUGCGGUAAAAAAGCUCGUAGUUGGAUUUCUACCGAAGAUAGCCGGUCGGGUCUUCGACCUUGUAUCUGGUUUUGUCUUUGGUAUCCUCAUAGGGAACGUUUCUGCGCUUUAUUGCGUGGUGCGGUAUCUACGACUUUUACUUUGAGGAAAUUAGAGUGUUCACGGCAGGCAAACGCCUUGAAUAUAUUAGCAUGGAAUAAUAACAUAGGAUCUUCGUCCUAUUUUGUUGGUUUCUAGGGCUAAGAUAAUGAUUAAUAGGGAUAAUUGGGGGCAUCUGUAUCAACGCGUCAGAGGUGGAAUUCUUGGAUUGCGUUGCGACAAACUACUGCGAAAGCAUUUGCCAAGGAUGUUUUCAUUGA
Molecule: ribosomal RNA, 381 nt
Filed under: uncultured eukaryote
Lineage: Eukaryota
Description: partial 18S ribosomal RNA
Rfam family: Eukaryotic small subunit ribosomal RNA
Source: RNAcentral